Long non-coding RNA from Astatotilapia calliptera (eastern happy), 1310 nucleotides. NCBI's taxonomy places the organism in Eukaryota, Metazoa, Chordata, Actinopteri, Cichliformes, Cichlidae. The record is from Ensembl.
GUGCGGAUUCAUGUGCUGAGGUGUGUUUUUUUUUCUGUUCUCAAACUGAUCUCCCUGUUGGAGCUCAGUCUGGGGGGAGUUAUUUUUUCUCCUCGUCUUUCCUCAUGUUGUGCAUUUUCCAUUGUUAUACCUCUCUGACCAGUCUUCCCCAUAUGAUGUUGUAAUGUAUGUAUGGUCGGAAGGGUAAGAUGGCGCUGGCAAAGGUCGGCAGCCUUAACCCAACAAAUUUCCUACGCGUGGGACUAAUAAAGGUUAUCUUAUCUUAUCCAAAAAUCGGUCAAUUCUGCAAUGUCUCAGGGUUGUUGUCAGUUAGACUGAGUGUUUUCUUACUACCUGUCCAUCCAUUCUCUUCUGUUUGUCACAGAGGGACUGGAGGCUAUUCCAGCUACCACAGGGCGAGAGGCGGGGUACACCCUGGACAGGUCGGCAAUUCCUAAGUAUUAAGUUGAAAUCAGUGAAAUAUUGAGGUAGAAGUGCUGAAUACAUAUUUCCUUAAAAGACUGCAAGUUAGUAAACAGCAGUAAAACACAUAAAUUAAAGAAUGCUGUUUGCCUCCAACUCUACCAGCAGGUGGAGACAGAGUGGUGGUGUAGUUGUAUGCCUAAAGAUGAAGGUUUGACAGACCCUGAAGGCUCAGAAAAGAUGAUGAUUAUUUUUAAUGGUUUUUUUUUCUUUUUUUUAAAUUUUGGUGUGAAAAAUGACCUAGUGUACAACAAUAAAAUCACUUCUGUUUUAGCAAACUUAUUAUGUUCACAAUUUGAUGGUGUGUACAUUUUUAAUUUCCAUCAGCCACUUCCCGGCAUUAAACAGAAUGCUGGAAAUGUGUCUUUCUUAAUAUUUCUAUAUAAACUAUAUAAAUAUUCGCAUAUUAACAUCCUGAAAACCCCGAGAACUACAGUGUACAGACAGUAAGCUGAUUUAUAUGUUGGGUAUCAUGUCAGUGCUUUUCCACUAGGUGGCGAUAUAACUCUGUGUAUAACUCUUGAUUCAACGCUCCACCUCCAUUCAAAAAGUAAAACGUCGUGUGCUGUAGACACUUCCUAGUGUCUAAAUCGUAAAACUAUCAGGUUUACUGUUAAAAACAAUCUUCAACCACUUCAACACAAACCACCAACAAACAAAUACAGUAUAAAUACAGUAUACCACCUCAGUUUUUAAGCAUGACACACGAGAAGUAAGUCAGCAAGUGCACAUGCACGUGUCCUCUUCAUUGCAGUGCUAUGGCUUUGACCUUUGACCCUUUUUCACUCCGUUCCCAUUUCAGGAAUCUGCAGUAUCAUCAGCUCAAUGAAAUAAAAGACAAAUAUGUA